Molecule: ribosomal RNA, 252 nt
Filed under: uncultured bacterium
Lineage: Bacteria
Description: partial 16S ribosomal RNA
Rfam family: Bacterial small subunit ribosomal RNA
Source: RNAcentral
UACGGGGGAUGCAAGCGUUAUCCGGAUUUAUUGGGUUUAAAGGGUGCGUAGGCGGGCUUUUAAGUCAGCGGUAAAAAUUCGGGGCUCAACCCCGUCCGGCCGUUGAAACUGGGGGCCUUGAGUGGGCGAGAAGAAGGCGGAAUGCGUGGUGUAGCGGUGAAAUGCAUAGAUAUCACGCAGAACCCCGAUUGCGAAGGCAGCCUUCCGGCGCCCUACUGACGCUGAGGCACGAAAGUGCGGGGAUCGAACAGG